RNAcentral lists this ribosomal RNA (410 nucleotides) under Paenibacillaceae bacterium CL7.14. RNAcentral's name for it is "bacterial SSU rRNA". It matches the Rfam family "Bacterial small subunit ribosomal RNA", at positions 94 to 490 of the family's 1533-position model. Lineage: Bacteria; Bacillati; Bacillota; Bacilli; Caryophanales; Paenibacillaceae. The record is from RNAcentral.
AGCGGCGGACGGGUGAGUAACACGUAGGCAACCUGCCCCAUAGCCUGGGAUAACUACCGGAAACGGUAGCUAAUACCGGAUAAUUCCUUUUCCCUCCUGGGAAGAGGAUGAAAGACGGAGUAAUCUGUCGCUGAGGGAUGGGCCUGCGGCGCAUUAGCUAGUUGGUGGGGUAACGGCUCACCAAGGCGACGAUGCGUAGCCGACCUGAGAGGGUGAACGGCCACACUGGGACUGAGACACGGCCCAGACUCCUACGGGAGGCAGCAGUAGGGAAUCUUCCGCAAUGGGCGCAAGCCUGACGGAGCAAUGCCGCGUGAGUGAUGAAGGUUUUCGGAUCGUAAAGCUCUGUUGCCAGGGAAGAACGUCUUAUAGAGUAACUGCUAUAAGAGUGACGGUACCUGAGAAGAAAG